RNAcentral lists this long non-coding RNA (187 nucleotides) under Castor canadensis (American beaver). RNAcentral describes it as "lncRNA (ENSCCNG00000029001.1)". The record is from RNAcentral. Lineage: Eukaryota; Metazoa; Chordata; Mammalia; Rodentia; Castoridae.
UGGCCUUGGGGCAGGUGGCCCUGGUCUUCAGGCAUGCAGCUCCAUGCAGAUCCAGGCGUGGUGGUGGCGGCUAAAGCUGUUUUGCUGGUGGGCUGAGCAUGGGAGGUGUUUUCUCUACUGCAGGGUCAGAUCCAGCUGUGACUGCUCCUGAUGUAAGAGUCCCAAAUCAACCUUCAUCUUAGUUCAG